This 220-nucleotide unclassified non-coding RNA is filed under the name plant metagenome. Its description in RNAcentral is "partial contains small subunit ribosomal RNA, internal transcribed spacer 1, and 5.8S ribosomal RNA". The record is from RNAcentral.
UUUCCGUAGGUGAACCUGCGGAAGGAUCAUUACAGAGAACAUCGCCCUUACGGGUGACUCUCCAACCCUAUGUUAUUAUACCUUUGUUGCUUUGGCGAGCCGCCUCGGCCACCGGCUUACGCUGGUGAGUGCUUGCCAGAGAACCCCAAACUCUGAGUUUAAAUAUCGUCUGAGUACUAUAUAAUAGUUAAAACUUUCAACAACGGAUCUCUUGGUCCUG